GAGUUUGAUCCUGGCUCAGAACGACGCUGGCGGCAUGCCUAACACAUGCAGGUCGAACGAGACCUUCGGGUCUAGUGGCGCACGGGUGCGUAACGCGUGGGAAUCUGCCCUUUGCUUCGGAAUAACAGUUAGAAAUGACUGCUAAUACCGGAUGAUGUCGUAAGACCAAAGAUUUAUCGGCAAAGGAUGAGCCCGCGUAGGAUUAGGUAGUUGGUGGGGUAAAGGCCUACCAAGCCGACGAUCCUUAGCUGGUCUGAGAGGAUGAUCAGCCACACUGGGACUGAGACACGGCCCAGACGUCCUACGGGAGGCAGCAGUGGGGAAUAUUGGACAAUGGGCGAAAGCCUGAUCCAGCAAUGCCGCGUGAGUGAUGAAGGCCUUAGGGUUGUAAAGCUCUUUUACCAGGGAUGAUAAUGACAGUACCUGGAGAAUAAGCUCCGGCUAACUCCGUG
This 452-nucleotide ribosomal RNA is filed under the name uncultured Novosphingobium sp. RNAcentral describes it as "bacterial SSU rRNA". It matches the Rfam family "Bacterial small subunit ribosomal RNA", at positions 9 to 507 of the family's 1533-position model. Lineage: Bacteria; Pseudomonadati; Pseudomonadota; Alphaproteobacteria; Sphingomonadales; Sphingomonadaceae. The record is from RNAcentral.